ACCAGGUGCAGUGGCACACACCUGUAAUCCCAGCAGUUUAGGAGGUUGAGACAGGAGAAUCACAAGUUGAAAGCCAGCCUCAGCAAUGGUGAGGCGUUUAGCAACUCAGUGAGGCCCUGUCUCUA
Molecule: small RNA, 125 nt
Filed under: Marmota monax (woodchuck)
Lineage: Eukaryota; Metazoa; Chordata; Mammalia; Rodentia; Sciuridae
Source: RNAcentral